RNAcentral lists this transfer RNA (78 nucleotides) under Candidatus Saccharimonadota bacterium. RNAcentral describes it as "tRNA-Met". It matches the Rfam family "tRNA". Rfam says of the family: Transfer RNA (tRNA) molecules are approximately 80 nucleotides in length. Their secondary structure includes four short double-helical elements and three loops (D, anti-codon, and T loops). Lineage: Bacteria; Candidatus Saccharimonadota. The record is from RNAcentral. RNAcentral also lists the same sequence under 2 other names.
UGCGGGGUGGAGCAGCCUGGUCAGCUCGCUUGGCUCAUAACCAAGAGGUCGCAAGUUCAAAUCUUGCCCCCGCGACCA